GGGCAAUUAGCUCAGUUGGUUAGAGUACAAGCAUGACACGCUUGGGGUCGCUGGUUCGAUUCCAGCAUUGCCCA
Treponema sp. OMZ 838 is the source of this 74-nucleotide non-coding RNA. NCBI's taxonomy places the organism in Bacteria, Pseudomonadati, Spirochaetota, Spirochaetia, Treponematales, Treponemataceae. The record is from Rfam.